This is a long non-coding RNA of Drosophila novamexicana, 2069 nucleotides long. RefSeq lists it as uncharacterized. Lineage: Eukaryota; Metazoa; Arthropoda; Insecta; Diptera; Drosophilidae. The record is from RefSeq and is a predicted model, not a curated record. The transcript is spliced from 8 exons.
UAAGGUUUUAAGCAAUAUGUUUAUAUAUUAGGAAAAAUUAAAUUUCAAAAUUUUUGAUUCUAUUCCAACCUACAUUUUUUGGCUGUAGCGACAUUUAAUAUGGCAACUGUUCUGCAGAAUAAAUAUAGAAAUGCUUUCAAUCUAUUGAAAGCCCAUAGUGUGUGGUCCUUAAAAUACCUAAAGCAUUAUACUGAGAAGCUUCACGAGAGGGGCAAAGCCAUGGAAAACGUUUACUUUCUGAAAAUCCAAUAUGAACAGCUACGGGCAUUAAGACGGACAAAGCUAGCUAAACGAAGGGAACUAGAUAGGAAUAUCACGGACCUAAAUGAUACGCUAGAGGAAAUUGAGAACGCGCUAAGAGAACGUCGAGUUCUCUAAAACUUGCUUAGUCAUGUUAUUUUACUAUAGGAUCUAGAGGAAUGCCUGACAAUAUCCACACCAAAAACCUUGACAGGGGCGGACCAAAUGUGAAUUUUUCUACCGAGAAAAGUUCGCAACUACGAUCCCUUAUAUUUUUAGAUAGAGUAAAGCCUCAAAGACUCGAUCAUGAAUCUGUUGCAAAUAUAAAAGCAGCAGAUUCAUGAGCGAGUCUGUUCAUUUUGGUUUCAAUUUCGAAAUGUCAUUUAAACCUGAGUAGGUGCUUUUGGAAAAUAUUACAAAAAAUACUUAAAUUUAAAUCAGAAUUUCGAAAUGUUUGUCAUGGGAACCUUCAGUCUAAGGGCCGCUGUAAAAAUGUUGUGGUACAUAAAUAGCUUCUCUAUAAAAAGCACAAUCCCAGCUAUGAUAGGUCCAUUAAUAACCAGACAUUACUGCAAUGAAAUUCGUGAAAGGGGCAAAGCAAGUGAAAACGUCCACUUUCGGAAAAUACAAUACGAACAGUUUCAACGUAUUAUCGAAAAUCAAAAACAAAUCAGGGAGGAAAUUAAGAGAUUGGGUAAAGAGCUGGAGGACCUGAAGAGAAAUAUGGAGAAACGCGAAGAAAAUUCAACCCACAAGGAUUGAUAAGCAUACGUACCUUAGUAGGCGCUGUUUACAAAAAUUCUGAAUAAUGAUUUCCGUCAAAAUUAAACUUUGUAAACUCUUUUCAAAAUUAAAACCUCAUUUCAUACCUUUAUAUUUUAUUUUAAAUUUUUAGUAAUUUUUUUUUUUUUUUUUUGUAAGAGCGAAAUGCUGCCGGUUCAUAAAGUGCUCAAGUCUAGUAGCUUGUUGAAGCCCAUAUUUGAUGAUUUGCCACAAGGAUUUUUGAAUAUCAUGUUCCGCUCUUAUACCAAAGAGAUUUACGAAAGAGCCAAGGCCGUAGAGAAUGUGCACUUUUUGAAAAUUCAAGGGGAGCAGCUGCAAAAGCUGCGAAACAAAAUGCUCAAGGCGCUGAAAAAAAAUGAAGAUAGUGGGGCCGUAGACGGCAAUCUAGAGUUGAAAGAAUCACGAGCUGCGAGAACACAGCAAGCAGAUAAUUGAAAUUGUGUUUCUGAAAAUUGAUUCGGCAAAAUAUUAUGCCCAGAACAACGUUUACAAAACAGUAGGCAACCGUAAUUCUGUUCCAAAUACAUGCUAUUUUGAACAAAACUAAUAUCAAAAUUCCAAAUUCAAUAUUCUACAAUGUGGAGCUGUUUCAGGCCCAGAUGUGUGAUGGAAUGUCUCAUUAGAUGGAGUCUCUCGUUCCCUCAACAGCUGCGCUUGUUAUCAGACAACGAAAAAGCUAAAAUUCUCGAGGCGAAGAACAUAGCCAUGUGGAGGAAACAGAUAAGUGAGUUGGUUCGGAAGCGUGCAAUGCUAGCACUUAUAAGCGAUUACAUUCAGCUACAGGAGCGUUAUGUGGAGUCUAGACUGCGAAGCAAUAAAAGGUUGCUAAAAUAUGCAAACAAAAUUUGGAGCUUGCGCAGAAAAGAGUCGUCUUGAGAAUUUAGAUGAAUUACUGCUUCCGAAAUUUUGAUUUUAAAGUGCUGGUCCUAUGAUUAUAAUAUCUCUUCAAUUUAUUUAAAAUAGUUUGUAUUUCUCAUUUACAAAUGCUUUACAAGAAGCGUUACAUAACAGGCGUCAAUAAAAUGAAAAAGAAAUGCUGCUUCAAA